This 468-nucleotide ribosomal RNA is filed under the name uncultured bacterium. RNAcentral's name for it is "partial 16S ribosomal RNA". It matches the Rfam family "Bacterial small subunit ribosomal RNA", at positions 28 to 507 of the family's 1533-position model. The record is from RNAcentral.
GACGAACGCUGGCGGCGUGCUUAACACAUGCAAGUCGAACGGAAAGGCCCUGCUUUUGUGGGGUGCUCGAGUGGCGAACGGGUGAGUAACACGUGAGUAACCUGCCCUUGACUUUGGGAUAACUUCAGGAAACUGGGGCUAAUACCGGAUAGGAGCUCCUGCUGCAUGGUGGGGGUUGGAACGUUUCGGCGGUUGGGGAUGGACUCGCGGCUUAUCAGCUUGUUGGUGGGGUAGUGGCUUACCCAGGCUUUGACGGGUAGCCGGCCUGAGAGGGUGACCGGCCACAUUGGGACUGAGAUACGGCCCAGACUCCUACGGGAGGCAGCAGUGGGGAAUAUUGCACAAUGGGCGGAAGCCUGAUGCAGCAACGCCGCGUGCGUGAUGACGGCCUUCGGGUUGUAAACCGCUUUCGCCUGUGACGAAGCGUGAGUGACGGUAAUGGGUAAAGAAGCACCGGCUAACUACGUG